This 1048-nucleotide long non-coding RNA is filed under the name Ananas comosus (pineapple). Its description in RNAcentral is "long non-coding RNA (ACOM_LNC004883)". Lineage: Eukaryota; Viridiplantae; Streptophyta; Magnoliopsida; Poales; Bromeliaceae. The record is from RNAcentral.
UGAAAAAACGCAACAUUUGAAAAUUUCUCUAUAUUUAUCAAAUAUUAGAUUAGUAGUAUAUACCUUGAUCAUUGUUUACGCAAAAUAAUGUCGAAAAAUUAUAAAAUUUAGUUUUCAAAUAUUACAAUAGUGUAGAUCAAGUCUAACGGAGUUUAUCGUCGAUUUGGAAGCUAUAUCAUUGAAAAUAAUUUGAAAGUACGGAGGCUUCCGUGCUACCGAUAGUAUACCAGCCUAGCUAUCCUCUGUGCUUUCGAAAGCACAAAAGACGUACUCUCUCUCUCUCUCUCUCAUUAUGGUGCUACCAAGUUUUUUAUCUUUAGAUCUAUCUCUUCCGUCAUUUUCAUUCAUUAAAUCAUACUAUUCCAUUAAUCACUCACUCAACCUUAAAGAACCACUAUCAUUUUAAUGGCACAACUCUUCGUCCAAAAACCCAAAACCUAAUAGUACCAAUGACUUUGUGCUAUUAAUAGUAUAGUAGUCUAGUUAUAUAUAUAUAUAUAUAUAUAUAUAUAGAACUAGGCUACUAUGCUAUUGAUAGCACCAAGUCAUUGGUGCUACCAAGUUUUUGGCCAUUGGAUUAAGAGAUGUGUGGUUAGGAUGAUGUGGGCCCCCUAGGAUUGAGUAGGUGGUUGGUUGAAUAGUAUGAUCUAACGGGUGAAAAUGAUCAAAGGGGUGGAUCUAACGGUGGAAAACUUGGUAGCACCAAGUGCUCCGUGCUAUUAAUAGCAUAGUAGCCGGACUCUAUAUAUAUAUAUAUAGAGAGAGAGAGAGAGAGAGAGAGGCUCCUAUGCUAUAUAUUGUAGCGAGGCUCCCGUACUAUAGUCUCAUUUUCAACUUUAAAUCAAUGAUCUAUAUCGUUAAAACUAAUUUAAAAUAUUUGAAGUUUUUAAAAAUAAAAUUUUAUAUUUUUUUGACAUAGUUUAUUUUAUGACCAAAUCAUUUCAAAAUUGUCAAUUUUCAAUUACUAGUAUGGCGAGUUUGUAAUUUAACGGUGUAGAAAAUCUAAAUUUAUUCAAAUUUUGGCAGAAAAUACUUUUAACUAUUUAGG